AACGAACGCUGGCGGCAGGCCUAACACAUGCAAGUCGAGCGAGAUCUUCGGGUCUAGCGGCGGACGGGUGAGGAACGCGGGGGAAUAUGCCCCUGGGUAUGGAAUAGCCUCGGGAAACUGGGAGUAAUACCGGUUGUGCCCUUUGGGGGAAAGAUUUAUCGCCAGGAGAUUAGGCCGCGUUGGAUUGGGUAGUUGGUGGGGUACUGGCCUAUCAAGCCGACGAUUCAUAGCUGGUUUGAGAGGAUGAUCAGCUACACUGGGACUGAGACACGGCUCAGACUAGUACGGGAGGGAGCAGUGGGGAAACGUAGGAGAAGGGGGCGAAUCUAACAACGCCAUGCCGCGUAAGUGGUGAAGACCUUAGGAGUAUAAAGCCAUUUCAGCUGGGAAGAGAAUGACGGUAACGGCAAAAGAAGCCCCGGCUAACUCCGUG
RNAcentral lists this ribosomal RNA (433 nucleotides) under uncultured bacterium. Its description in RNAcentral is "partial 16S ribosomal RNA". It matches the Rfam family "Bacterial small subunit ribosomal RNA", at positions 29 to 507 of the family's 1533-position model. The record is from RNAcentral.